Molecule: long non-coding RNA, 2018 nt
Filed under: Helianthus annuus (common sunflower)
Lineage: Eukaryota; Viridiplantae; Streptophyta; Magnoliopsida; Asterales; Asteraceae
Description: hypothetical non coding rna
Source: RNAcentral
UUUCAAAAUGCCCGCUUCCCUGCUCCUCUCUCUCUCUCUCUCUCUCCCUGGCGAUUCCAGAUCUGGAUCUGGAUCUAGGGUUUUUCUCCAUCACGUUUCUACUACUCCAAUUGCUCAUGGAAAUCAUUGGAAUCAAACUCAAGUCUAGGUUUUGAAAUUCACGGAGAGUUGAAGAUGAUGCAAGCUGUUGUUUUAAUUGGUGGUGGUUAGCAACGAUAGAGAUGGUGGUGGUCUGCGGCUUGUGGUGGUAAUGGUUAGCGUCAACUGGUGACCCAACCUAGGGUUUAGAGUUUCGACCAGAUUCUUCUGGUAGCCCUAUCUAGGGCUCUGACCAUAACCCUAAUCCGGUGAAAGUUGUAGAUCUGUGUUGGGCGCUCCGGAGUUUGAUGAUAUUUUACCAAGUUGGACUUACUUUGAGAACAAGGAUCCUGCUGAACAAGAGUCACUGAUUUCUGAUGUUCAUGAUGUGACCGCAAAUGCAGCUUCUGUUAUUGAUGUCUGCAUGCUAAGAAAUGCAGAAUCCUCUGCUGUUGAUGGAGAUAGUUUGAAUCCACAUGUAUGCUUAUACUGCUAUAUGAACAUGAUGAAAAAUUGCAGAGAAGAGCCGGGGGCAUUUAGUGCAGAGUAACCGUAUGCAUCUUAGACCGAAGUUCAGCCCGCACAUGGAAGUCGAUCCUUGUGAGGACUUGACUGAUAAUGACAUACUAAACUGUUAUGCCAUGAGGUUAAGCUGGAGCUUCAUAUACGGAUGAAUGGGUCAAACGGGUCAGAUGUGUUGCAGCACUGGGUCAUUUGUUGCUAGGGUUGUUUUUAAGUUGUUUUCUACACGUACAGGUGGUGGGGUUUUAGGAUUUUAAGUGAUCUUGGGAUCCAAUAUUGAAGGUAACGAGUUAAGGGCUGCUGCAUGUUGGUUCUUAUUUAGUAAGGGGCAGAUGAGGUAUCUCGGAAACUAUGUUCAUGGACUCAGUAAAAAGCCUCUCAGUAUCAGCGUGUGGAAAGGUUUUUUUUCACGGUUGUGUGGUCGAAAUUCAGGUUAAUUGUGUUUGUUCUUUGUAAAAUAGUUUUACGCAUCUAUGAUACAAAUGAAGAAAGAAUCACAUUCUCUUACAUGGUUAACAAACUUUUUUAAACUCCGAGGAAUGGUUCAUGAUCUGUUGAAUUAAAUCAAAAUUUAUUUCUUAGUUCCAUGUGUUUCACCAUCUUUUGACUUUUUAAAUUGCAGAUCCAUGGCUUGCAUAUGCACUUAUAAAGAAUAAUCCAGAAUAUGCUGCAAAGGUAGUUCUAUAAGCCUUGUAACAGAUAACUUUUUAACUAAGAUAUGAAUUAUAGGUACCCAAGGGAAACCCGUAUCACAAUGCCACUUUUGGAGGAAUGGCAAUAUAUUGCUCUAAUAGCAUGAUUCUAAGAAAGGUGAAUCGUCAUUGGUGGGGGAAGAUACCCAGAACCAUUACCUAUCUGACAGGUUUCGAGUUUAACUUGGUUGACCGGACCCCAGGCUUACGAUUUAUAUAAAGUUACCUUAUAAUAUGUAAUUUCUUCCUCAUUUAUUGUAUAGAAAAAAGGCAACUAAGGAAUUAUAUGUUACCCAUGGCUUUAUAGCCUAGUGGUAUCUUGGGGUGAGAUAAGACUUUAGACCAAUAGGUCCUGAGUUCGAUUCUCAUAAAAGGGGGUUUUCCCAUAUUUAUUGGGUUUCCUCCUGAAAUGGUGUAUAGGCAUUAUGCUUAGUGGAGAUGGAUAUGAUCGGGUGGUUCUGCUGGUGGCACGAUGAUACUCCAGUAGUCCGUCAGUGAUCCAAAUUUGCCGUUCAAAAAAAAAAAAAAAAAAAAAAAAAAAAAAAAAAAAAAAAAAAAAAAAAAAAAGGAAUUAUAUGUUUUUCCUAGCUGCAACUAUUAUUCAAGUGAAGUUGCAUUGGAACAAAGCAAAUUUUGAAGGGUUCCAAACUCCAAAUGUGUGCUGGAUUCAUAAGGGUUACUAGAGUAAAUAUAUUUUAAAAAGAAUUGAAUACAACUGGUUUUGUU